Molecule: small nuclear RNA, 143 nt
Filed under: Sorex araneus (European shrew)
Lineage: Eukaryota; Metazoa; Chordata; Mammalia; Eulipotyphla; Soricidae
Description: U1 spliceosomal RNA (ENSSARG00000019368.1)
Rfam family: U1 spliceosomal RNA
About the family: U1 is a small nuclear RNA (snRNA) component of the spliceosome (involved in pre-mRNA splicing). Its 5' end forms complementary base pairs with the 5' splice junction, thus defining the 5' donor site of an intron.
Source: RNAcentral
AUAGUUACCUGGCAGGGAAGGUACCAUGGUCACAAAGCUGGUUUCCCAGGGCCAGACUUGUUCGUGGUACCCCAGACAUGUUGACCCUUGAGAGUUCCCCCAAUGUGGGAUAAAUUGUGCAAGCAGGGGACUUUACUCUCCUC